This 560-nucleotide ribosomal RNA is filed under the name uncultured Glomus. Its description in RNAcentral is "SSU rRNA". It matches the Rfam family "Eukaryotic small subunit ribosomal RNA", at positions 546 to 1106 of the family's 1831-position model. Lineage: Eukaryota; Fungi; Glomeromycota; Glomeromycetes; Glomerales; Glomeraceae. The record is from RNAcentral.
AAUUGGAGGGCAAGUCUGGUGCCAGCAGCCGCGGUAAUUCCAGCUCCAAUAGCGUAUAUUAAAGUUGUUGCAGUUAAAAAGCUCGUAGUUGAAUUUCGGGAUCAAUAUUUCGGUCAUGCCGUUGGUAUGCACUGUUAUCAUUGAUUUCUCACCUUCUAAAGAACCGUAAUGCCAUUAAUUUGGUGUUACGGGGAAUUAGGACUGUUACCUUGAAAAAAUUAGAGUGUUUAAAGCAGGCUCACGCUUGAAUACAUUAGCAUGGAAUAAUGAAAUAGGACAUCCGAUUCUAUUUUGUUGGUUUCUAGGAUCGAUGUAAUGAUUAAUAGGGAUAGUUAGGGGCAUUAGUAUUCAAUUGUCAGAGGUGAAAUUCUUGGAUUUAUUGAAGACUAACUACUGCGAAAGCAUUUGCCAAGGAUGUUUUCAUUAAUCAAGAACGAAAGUUAGGGGAUCGAAGACGAUCAGAUACCGUCGUAGUCUUAACCAUAAACUAUGCCGACUAGGGAUCGGAUGAUGUUAAUUUUUUAAUGACUCAUUCGGCGCCUUACGGGAAACCAAAGUGU